AUAGGCUAAAAUCUCGUUUUCGCGACAAGGAACAUUCCAAUACUUUCAUUUUACCGAAUACGAAACCAAAUAGGUUCACAUAUCAUGCUUCGCAUCAGGGGACAUGUUCAACCUUCAUAUUUAUGAAACUUCUAACAAUAUAAGCUAAAAUCUCGUUUUUACGACAAGGAUCAUCUCAUUACUUUCUAUUUAUCGAAUUUAAAACCAAAUAGGUUCAAAUAUUAUGUUACACAUCAAAGGACAUCGAAGGACAAAUUCAACCUUCAUAUUUAUCAAACAUCUAACCAUAUAGGCUAAUAUCUCAUUUUUGCGAUAAAGGUCAUUCCAAUACUUUCAUUUUACCGAAUACAAAACCAAAUAGGUUCACAUAUCAUAUUUCUCAUCAAGGGACAUCGAGGGACAAGUUCAACCUUUAUCAAACUUCAAACCAUAUAGGCUAAAAUCUCAUUUUCGCAUCAUGUUUCACAUCAAGGGACAAGUUCAAACUUCCCAUUUACCAAACUUGUAGGCAUAUAGACCAAAAUCACGUUUUUGCGACAAGGGUCAUUCCAAUACUUUCAUUUUACCGAAUACAAAACCAAAUAGGUUCACAUAUCAUAUUUCGCAUCAAGGGACAUCGAGGGACAAGUUCAACCUUUAUCAAACUUCAAACCAUAUAGGCUAAAAUCUCAUUUUCGCAUCGUGUUUCACAUCUAGGAACAAGUUCAAACUUCCCAUUUACCAAACUUGUAGGCAUAUAGACCAAAAUCUCAUUUUUGCGACAAGGGUCAUUCCAAUACUUUCAUUUUACCGAAUAUAAAACCAAAUAGGUUCACAUAUCAUAUUUCGCAUCAAGGGACAUCGAGGGACAAGUUCAACCUUUAUCAAACUUCAAACCAUAUAGGCUAAAAUCUCAUUUGCGCAUCAUGUUUCACAUCAAGGGACAAGUUCAAACUUCCUAGUUACCAAAUUUGUAGGCAUAUAGACCAAAAUCUCAUUUUUGCGACAAGGGUCAUUCCAAUAAGAUCUAAUGUCUCACUUAAGACCCUCAUUUUUAAGUGAGAUCCAUAUUUUUUUAAUAUUAAAAUUUAAAUGUAAUGAUAUAAAUUUAUUUACGGUUGAUUAACGAGUCUCAUUUUAAAAAAUUGUGUGAAAUGUUGAGUUGAAGUGAUCGAGUGUUUACUAAGUAUUACUAUAAAAAAUUUAUAAAUGAGUGUCGUGUACACGUAAUACCAAUUUAAUUCAGUACACAAAAAUGGACGUCUCUCUGUUGUGGAUGUUCUAAGUAUAUUUAAUUCACUAUUGUUUAUUUAAAAAAGCACUUCACUGUUUUGUUUAUGAAUAACAUUACUUUUUUUUUUCUCCUACAAAAAAUAACAGUACUUUGCAAUGUGUAUUUUUUUAUCUGUCCGAUUCUAAGAUAAAUUUAUUUUUUUUUAAGUUUUUUUUUUCUGGCACAAUCCUAAGAUAAAUUUAUUUUUUUAUUAAUUAAGAGUACAUUGGAAGAAAAAAAAUGUUGAAGCUUAUAUUUAUAUUAGAAAUCGUAACUAUUGUCUCUAAGAAAAAAUUGUCCGUAAAUAAGAGUAUUAUUUUAGUUUGCUAGAUACAGUUGCUAGACCCACUUAAAAACAUGUCACAUGAUUGACUCAAAAAAAAAAAAAUUUGCAACAUGUUCGUUUUCAAAAAGCAAAAUCAAUUACGGUUGUAAUAUUCAAGUGUGUCAAGUAGUCUUAAGUCGAUGGUUGUUAUUCAUGCGUCCAUGAUGGACAAAUUCAAGCAUAGUUCCAUUCUAAACGUCGACCAAAGGUAUAUCUUAACGAAGAGGAAAAAGUAAGUCUUUUUAAAAACAAAAUAUUAUAUUUAUUGGAGGUUCUUUUUCUGUUCACCAAUUAGAUACUCAGAAGUCAUAUCUACACCUAACUUUUUUAAAUUUUUAAUUUGUAUAGCACAUAUAUGGAAAGAAUACAUUUUUAGAAAAAUGUAUAACCCAUGUGCAAUCUUUAAACAUAUUCAUUCAAACCACUAACUUUUUUCUUUCUCAAUGCUUUUAGAAAGAGCUGGUUAUGCUUAUCUUACAAUAGAAAAAGAGGUAUUAGAUGGAAAAAGAAAACUUAUGUGCUUUUGUUUCAUAGUUUCUACUCUUAGCUGCUUGCAUAAUUAUUGCUUCUUAUAGCUCCCCAAACUCGACCAUAUCAACUGCUAACAAACAAACAAACCAAAAAAAUGUUAAAUAUUAAAACAAAACUAAAAUUAAUUGAAACAAGCACCUUACGAUAAAACUCAUCCUAGAUAUUUCUAUGUGGAGUCUUCCUACAGUAGUAUAAAUAAGGCUCAUCAUCAAGUGUGUAGGAUAGUCAAGCAUUGAAGCAUUCAAAUAAAAAUAUAUUUCUUUGAGAAUAUUAGAGAAUUUCUCUAUUUUCUCUACCUUUCAUUUUGUCCCUGAGCAAGAAUUGACACCAAAGCUGGUUACGAUACCUCGGAGUCGAGUUUUAGCGAAAAAAUCAACGGAAAGUGAGUUUUCAAGUGAGCAAGGAGUUGCAUGUGGAAAACUUCACUUUGCAGCCAUUUUGUUCGCGAAACUAACACUGUCAUUUUGUUUGGGAAGUGAAGAAAACCCUUGGUUAACAAGUCUUCACCACCAACAAAACCACCACUCACCACCACAAUCUUCACUAAAUAGUUUGUUGAACUACCAUCGUUAAAAUGCCACCUCGAAGACAAAAUGAAAGAAGUUUGCAAGAGAUGGAGAUGGAAGAAAUGAGGCGACAAAUUCAACAACUGCAAGAGACCAUCAAUGCCCAACAAGCCCUUUUGGAAGCACAACGAAUAAGAUUUGAUGAUGGCUCUGGUAGUGACUCUUCAUCAUCUAGAAGCAUUCGCUCACACCGACGUCAACUUCGGAUGAAUGAUAUCAAAAUAGACAUAGCCUUAGAUUGUGUGAAUCGUAAAGUAGUCACCAUCUUUAAUGGGGAGAUACAUGAUAUUUUUGAAGAAGAAAAAGAAGAAAUUCAAGAAUCGUUUGAAGGAGGGUCGUUGGGAGAACGAAUUUACGAUGAAUAAUAUGUUGGUGCUGACAUUUGUGAAGUGUUUUGAAGAAGAGGGAAAUAUAUAUCCAAUAUAUGAUGAUGAACAUGGUCCCGAUGACAUUCAUGAAGUCUUUGACAAAGAGGAGCAUGACAAACCAAUAUAUGAUGAAGAAUAUAUUCUUGUUGAAUAUGGUAAAUCUUGGGAGGUUAAAAAAAGCUUGCAAACAACAGCAGCCAAAGAAGAACCAUGGCUAGGAUAUGAUAUCUUUCAAACUCAUUGCACCUCUCAAGACAUGGCUUGUAACGACAUCAUCGAUAGCACAAGAUGUGAAAACAUUGCAUCAAACUAUAUAAUAAUUCCUAUUAUCGCAUAGAAUGUUGAAUUAUUUGCCAUUAUGACAGCAGGUUUGCUUUGCAUUUAAUGCUUGAUGAUAAGUGAGACUUAAAAGCUAUUUUUUUUCGCAAAGGAAUGCAAAUGCAGACUAACAUAAAGUAAAAACACUUUUCAACUUUCAAACAUAUCUCUAUAAACAAUCUCCAUAAAUAGUGGAAGACGCCUUGCUUUGAAGCAUUGGUGUCCAACUGCAUUUGUGGUGAGUUUCUCCAUUCUAUUAAAAAGAUUCCAGUUUUUCUUUCUUUAAAGCAUUAUUUUUCUAUACAAUCUGUCAAAAAAAGAAGAAAACUUUUACUUAAAAUACUUAAUUCAUAUGAACAUGUUUAUAACUAAAUCUGCUGAGAACAAAAAUUUCUCAACAUGGGCUAAAUCUGCAUUUAUAUUGUUGUAUGUAAAUGUUAAAACUGUUGAUUCAAUUGCUCCUACAAUGAAAUUUGUACUAAACAUGUUCAAUUGUUUGAAUGAACUGCAUGUACCAUGAAAGAUUAGAUAUGAGCUCUUACCAAGAAAUGAAUUGCUCUUUCUACGACUUACAAAUAUGAAAGAAUCGGUGAGAUUGUUUACAACUUCUAACUACAAUAUUUAACGUAUUUAACAUAAGCGUUAGAGCCUCUCAUAGUUGAUCAUGUACACAACUUAAAUUGAAAUUCAAAUUCAAGAAAUUAAAGUUUAAAGUUCGAUUUUUUUCUCUAUAAAUCACUAAAUUAUACAAAACUUAAAACUCAAAAGAGUAGUGGAUAACAUGAUUUAGUCCACCCAAAUAAACAAGAUUUAGUCGCCAAUUUAUUCAUAGCCUGGAUUAAAUGUCAAACAGAAGGGUAUGGAAGCCAACUAUUAAACAAAGAGACAAACUAUUCAAGAAGAAAACACAAGCAUUAAAUGCCUUGUAGCAAAUAUGAACAUAUUUAAAAGAAAACAGUCUAACGUAUCACUAAAAUAGAAUUUCAUGUUUCAAUGUUAAAUUCCAAGAGGAGAUUAGAGUUUAAGAUUGAAAUUGGGAAUGUGUGAUAAAUACAUAAAUGAGUAACCAAAUAAAUUAGAAUAAGGAUAAAGGUCUCAUAAAAUUUUGAAGAUUAAUUUUUUUGAAAACUGUCCACAAAAGAAGAAUCAUUUUUUAAACAAAAUAACAUUUUAUUUAAUAUAGGGUUAAUUAUAAAAUAAAAUUGAACACUAUUUAUAACUCUUAACUACCAUGUAAUGGUUUUUAAUUUAGGUUCAUAAAUUCCUACAUGGAUUUAUUCCUUCAAUCUAAAACCAAACAAUCCCAUAAAGAUCUAAGAUUAACAAAUUCAAACCCUUUUCUUAUUAAUCCAUAAGACAAGAUAGCACGUUAAGCAUCAACAAUGUAUCGAUCUGAGAUUUUAUUAGAAAAAGCUAGCAAGGGGACAGAAUCACGUGUCAAUUUGAGAAACGGAAAAAGACGUCAAUUAUUUUAAUGGAUAUUGACAUUAUCGAAAUGCACAUGUCUAUUGUUGUUGCAUCAAAAGAUGACAAAAAGAAGAAAUGCAUCAUAUGAUGGUUGGAUUCAAUUUGCAUUUGAUAACGUUUUGCAUAAGGGAGACAAAAUUUGUUGCAGUCUUCAGUUUGCUUUGAAUAACUUAUUUAUUGAGAUAUCUAUAACAACUUCGUAGAGUUGGAAUAAAAAUUAAAAUAUUAGGCGUUUUAGUGGAUGUUUGUCUAUCGUUUUUAUGCUUACUUUUUAACUUAAAGUAUUAUGCAAUAUAAAUAGAAGUUGGUGUAACAUGUCCUUUGUUUUUUUAGCUUGCUUGGAAGACUUGUCGGUUAUUGGGAUAAAUCUUUUACAACUUUUAGCGAGUUUAACGUGUUUGUGUGUUGUUAUGGUUUUUUAUCUUCACACAACUACUAUUAAUCAAUGAUAUUUAUCAUGAAUUGACGACAACAAUAAAUAACCUAAUUAUGACAUAAUUUUUACCACGUUAUGAAUUAGUUUGUCAUUGUCGUUUUCAACUUUAAUUAAAAAUUAAUUUCGCAUUUGUAAUCAAACUAAGGACAUAUGCAAGUGCUCCGAGCCGUGCGUUGCACAGGUGAGGACACUAGUUACUAAACAAUCAAAACCAAAAUGAAGCAGGUACCAAAACAAAGAGGAAAAACAGAACACAAAAAACUGCAGACUUAUAACAAUUGCCACAGCCGCAGGUAGUGCCAAAACUAAUUCCUCAAUACAGUGAUUAAACAAACAGCAACAAGCAAAAUUCAAGAGGACAAGCAAAACUCACAAGGUGCUAGCAAUUUAACAAAGAUAUUACAUCAAAUACGCACCACAAAGCAAGCUUACCUUUACUAUAGAUGUUUACAAAUAGGCUGUGUUUGGUAACACAAAAAAGCUAGCUUAUAGUUUGUUGGAUUAGCUUAUAAGCUCGUUAGAUGAAAAUGUGACGUGUUUGGUAACAAGCUUUUUUUAUGAGCUUAUAGCGUUUUUUGAAAAGCUAUUUCAAGUAGCUUUUUAGCUUAUAGCUGGUAGCUUUUUAUAUUUUCUUCCAACUUUAACCCUAUUAAUUUAAAUUAAUUAUUUUUUUAAUUAAACAACUACACAUGUUCAUCUUUAUAACCGCUCCAUUUUUUCCCUUAAAAAAAAUGCCAAGUAGUUUUUUUUAAGGAGCACUUUAUAUAUAUAUAUAUAUAUAUAUAUAUAUAUAUAUAUAUAUAUAUAUUAAGGAAAUGCUUUAUACCUUGUAAUAAUUAACCUGCCGUACACCACACAAAAAAUAACUAGCCUAUUUUUUUAAAGGAAAAAAUAACUAGUCUUUUUGUAUGUUAUAAAAUUUUAUAUAUUCUAACUCACUAUUUGUUUCCACCUUUCUCUUAAUUUUGGGAUACAUUAAGUAGAGAUCAAAAUUGUCGGUGAUUUUUUUUUUUUUUAGGAUUAAAGGUCGAAGAAUUUUUUUAUGGAGACUAAGACCAAAAGUUUGAAUAUUUAUAGGGACCAAAAACAUAUUUAACUAUAAAUAAAAAUAUUAAAAAAUAAAUACAUUAUAAAAAAAAUGUGUGUGUCUAUAUGUAUAUUAAAAAAAAAAACAUGUUCUUUUAUGUCAUUUUAUACUUAUCAGCCACUUCAACAGCUAAUUUUAUCAAAUACAUUAUUUUUAAUAAGCAGGCUUUUCAGCUAUAAGCUAUCAGCUAGCUUAUAGCUUAUUUUUACCAAACAGAACCAUAGUAUCCCAGUUGAUGAUAUAUCAAACAUUAUUUCUCGUGGCAACAAUAAUAUUCACCAAACAGCCGCUCCUUAUAAUCUCCCAGAUUUUACAAAAACACUUGCAUCACCGAAGGAAUUAUAAGCAUCAUCACCACAUAAAGACACAAAAUAAUCCACUGUCAUAACUAUUCAAGAAUAACAUAAAAUUAAGAUUUAUAUGAAACCAAAUCCAUUGAUGGAAACAAAUUUGAAAACCAGAACAAGCGUUUUAGAGUUACAUAUAAAUCUUAAAUAAGUACAAAGUAUCAUUAGAUUGACUACAAAUAUUAAAAUAAGCUAAAAAACAAUAAUAGGAUAUCCUAUAAUCUAAAGAAAAGCCAAGUAGCCAAUGUGAGGUAACUUCCAUUGCAUCAUGACUGUGAUCUUGUUGAAAAUCGCUAUUAUUUUCCGAUAAUUUCCUGCGCACAGUUGUAACAAUCCCUCCUUUGAACAAACAAUCUCUUGACCAAUUAUCAUACCAUUUGUUCUUGAUUUACCCAUGCGAAAGCUAAAACCUAUACUAUACUCUUGGCAUAUCUUACGUAGUAAUUCUUUACAUCUUCAAUUGAUGCAAAGUCCAUUCCUUCAAAGGGCUCUGAGGGGAUCUCUGAUGAUAGUCUAUCAUUGAGAGGAUCUGCAUCGAGAGCAAUUUCAAGGAUAUUGUCGUCACAGCCAGGCAUAGUGGUAUUUUCAUGCAUAUCUGUCAUCUCUUGAUCUACUAGCAGUACACACAAUCAUGUUAUGUAAAAGUGUAAUGACAUCAGAAUUCUUACCUACCAACAUAUCUAUAAUUAAAAUAGCGGUUUCACUUGAAAAGAGAGAAAAUAAAAACCACAUAAUAUGCCAUUAUAAAUGUGUAUUAUACUUGCACAGAAUAACAAUCACGCCACAUGUUAUAAAUAUCAACAAGAAAAAUAUUCUACUUAAAUAACUAAGAAAAACCAGUAGAAUAGAGUUUCAAAGAAUUGAUAAGACUUUGUACAUAAACAAUUCUAACUUGAAUCGCUUCAAAUAUCUAAAAGCUUACCGAAAAGGCGGAAACCCGUAGAAUAAAGGUGCAGAGAAUUGCUGAGCCUUUUGGAGUAAAGUCCUUAAUGAUAAUACAAAGGUUGCAGUUGCCAAAUAAAGAUCAUAACCGUAACUGUAGAGGAAGGGCGUGUGAGAUAUGAUGUUAAGCAACAACCAAGGACGUGAUAAAGAUGAUUUUUGAGGUUUUAUUUUAUUUUUUAUUCAAUUAAUUUCAUUAAACUGAUGUGGCAGAAUGCUGCAAUACUAUUGGAUGAGUGUGUAAAGAGUCUAAAAAAAAUAAGGACCUUAAUUGUUAAGCAUCAAAGGACAUCGAGGGACAAAUUCAACAGUCAUAAAGGCACAUUGUCAUACUUCCAAUUUACCGAAUUUAGAAUUAACUAUGCUUAAACAUCAAGUUUCACAUCAACUGACAUCGAGCGACAAGCUCAACCUUCCUAUUUAUCAAACUUCUAACUAUCUACGUUAAAAUUCAAUAUUUUCCGUCAAGGGCAGAUUUUGUUAAUGAUCCAAAAGACAAUUUAAACAUUAUAAUAGAAAACAAAACUCAUACUUCCAAUUUAUAGUUUAAAAACGUCUAUGCUCAAAUAUCACAUUUUUGUGUCAAGUGUCAUCGAUUCAAAAUAUAAACUUUCCUAUUUAUCAAAUUUAUAAUAAACUAGGUUUAAAUCAUUUUCGGGGUUGAGGAUCAUUGAGACACGUUCUCUGUAACGCCCACNNNNNNNNNNNNNNNNNNNNNNNNNNNNNNNNNNNNNNNNNNNNNNNNNNNNNNNNNNNNNNNNNNNNNNNNNNNNNNNNNNNNNNNNNNNNNNNNNNNNGUCCGACCAAUUAGUAAGUGGGGAGAAACGNAGAACUCAAUACCUUCCCAAAUUUAAUUAGGUUUAAAGAACGUGUCUAUGGCUCAAAAUAUCCACAUCUUUUUGUGGUCAGGGUGUCAAUCGGAUUCAAAAAUAUAAAACUUUCCUAAUUAAUCAAAAUUUAUAAUAAACUAGGGUUUAAAUCAUUUUCGGGGUUGAGGAUCAUGGAAGACACGUUCUCUGUAACGCCCCACUUUCCGUUUAUUGUUUUAUUUAUUGGGGUUAAGCCAAUUAUAUAAUAAUAAUAUAGAAAAGGCAGGAUUUGGUUAUGUUUGGGUGAUUCCCGAGGAAUUUAGUGAUUUGAUGGAUAACGUGAUAAGUUAUGAGUUUUGGAGGAUUGGAUUAUGAUAUGAGAUUUAUUUUAUUGUUAAAUAGAAUAAAGAUUUGAAAAUAAUAUAAAAUAUUUAGUUGAGGGCUGUUUUGAUAUUUUAGAUAGUUUUGGGGGUGAAAGUGAGAUAAGAUAAGUAAUUAGGAAGAGAUAUAAAUAGGAGAAGACCUAAUAUUUUAGAAACUCAUUGUACGUGAAAACUUUUGAAAAAGGGAGAAAAGCUUAGAAGGGAGAAGAGCAUAGAGAGGGCUGCGAUUUCUUCAUAACCAGGUAAGGGUGAGACUAAUAAUUCAAUAAUGUUAAUUACUGUAAUUCUGAUGAUUAGUUGACAAAGUUAGGAUUGAUUUAGAGAAGUUUUGGAAUUAGGUCAAAACCCUAAAAAUUGAUGAUCAAACGGUAAAACUUGUUAGAUUGAUGAAAGAACCGUCCUUUAACCUUAGAAUAUGUUUAGGAUGAAUUCUGGAAUCAAAACCACGCUUUGAACCAUGUUGUGUGAUGGAUUUUUGAGAAAAACCCUAGUCUGCCCGUGCUUCUGUUCAUCACUCGCCACGGCGAGGGAUGAUCCUCGCCUCGCGAGUGAUGAACUUCAUCGCUCGCCACGCGAGCCCCCCUUCCCUUCGCCUCGCGAGUUGUUUGGUGCAACUCGCCAUGGCGAGCAACCCUUCCUCGCCUCGCGAGCUUAGGCAGAGUGCAUGUCAUAUUUCGUGUUUCGACCUUUUUAGUUGAAUCUUGUAUGCCUUUGAGUACCUGAACAUACCUAGUAUUGAUUAGGAAUGAAUGUAGGAUCAGAGGGAACCCAGAACAACCUUAGUUUGGGAGUUGAGUGGUACUCGCCAUGGCGAGUAAGUACUCUCGCCUCGCGAGUACAACCAGGAUGAAUUUGUUUAUGUGUUUAUGCGAUCUGUGUCGCACUUGUUGAUCAAGAGUGAACCCCUAACUGGUAAUGAGACCUAGUGAUGUCGUUUAAUGCAGACUGUAGAGUUGUCUAAGUUAUAUUAAUAUUAAUUGAAUAUGAACUAUUGCAUUGUAUAUUCAUGCAAGAUAAGAAGAUGUGAUAAUGAUACAAAUUAUGUGCUUGAUAUAACGAUAUCAUCUUGUUAUGUGACCUGUUUAUGCUGCUUCCAUUAUUUAACUAAGUGCAUAAUUAUAUGAUGAAGUUUAGCUCCAAAUUAUUGGAUGCAUGUUGAUAAGUGAUUACGAUGUUUUGUUCAUAUGUGUCCAUGCAUAGCAUAUCAUUGAGCUUAGUCCUCACCACGAAUAUUAGGAGUUUUGUCCUCCGCACGUUUUAUAGGAGCUUUGUCCUCCGCACGAUUAAAGUAUAUUAAUACUUAUGAUGACGAUUGGUACCACAUGCAUAUAAGGAGUCUAGGAGCAUUGUCACAUUGUCAUGAUUAAGAUGCCUUGUUGGUAAUGAAUGAAUAUGUGAUUACGUGAUAAGUGUUUAUUGAUUAUGUUACGUUGUUCAUAAUGAAUUGGAUAUAUGAUUACGUGAUAACUGUUUAGCAUUUAUGCAAAGUUAAUAAUGGAAUGAUUAUGAUGUUAAUGUUAAUUAUGAUUCAAAUGACUUUGAUUAGCAUUAUUUUGUUAUGAAAUCUCACCCCUUCUGCUUGAAAAUGUUGUCCUUCGUAUGGGUAACUUGCAGGUGAUCGUGCUUAGUGUGCAGUUGCUUCUGUGAGUGGCCUUGCCUCACUGUGUCGUCUAGGUCGCUCUGAUACGUAACGGGAUGGGGUUUAUGUUUAUGCAUGCUUCAUUCUCUUACGUGACUAUUAUGUUAUUUUUAUAAUGUUAUGGAUUACAAUAUGAACAUGUUUGAUGGGGCCUGCGUGCCAAAACGUUUUAUGAAUUAUGACUAUGAUAUAAUUUCCGCUGCAAUGUUUAAGAUAUUGGUUAAAAUUAUUAUUUAACUGUUUUGGAUUAUGUUUUAUGUGAUAUCCCGUUGAUUAUGAUGCUUACUCUAAUAAAUGUUUUUAAGAAUUUUUAUGUUGGGAAAACGGAGUGUUACAUUCUCAUACUUCCAGAUUACCAAAAUCCAAAUAAACUCGGCUUAAAAAUCAUGUUUCGCAUCAAGGGACAUAGAAGUACAAGUUCAAACUUCUCAUUUAUCAUUUUUGUAACCACAUAGGCUAAAAUCUCAUUUUCCCGACAAGGGUCAUUUCGAUACUUUCAUUUUACCAAAUUUAAAACCAGAUAGGUUCAAAUAUCAUGUUUUCAAUCAAAGGACAUCAAGGGACAACUUCAACCUUCAUAUUUAUCAAAUUAAAAUUGUAACUAGGCUUAAAUAUGUAUUUGAUCCCUGCAAUUAGGGAUCGUUUAAAAAUUGGUUCCUGUAUUCGCUAAUCCUUGCAAACCAGCCUUGCAAUCAUUAAUCAUUUAAAAUUUCGUCCAUGAGUCCAGUUAAUAACUGCCACGUCAUCAAAUUAGCAAAAUGGCAUGGGAAUGGACAAAAAUGCCCUUACCCAUUUCUUCUUCUUCCCUUCCCUUAUUCUUUUCUAAAACCCAGUCCAUGUUUCAAGCUUCACAUUUUUUUUUUUUCGAAAAUAAAAUUCCUCCUUCUUUGAGAUUGUCACAAAAAUUCUGCUCAAUUCUUUAAUAAAGUAAUGAAGUAAUUUUGUUUUCUUCAACAAAACAACACCGCAUCACACCAAGUUGUUACACAUCAAACAAACCCAAAGCACAAAACACAAAUGAAAUAACUUAGAUCCACAAGCCAAUAGCCUCUUUAUUAUCAGAGCCAUAUUGCCAACACUACUAUCGUUCCUCUUCUGUAUCGCCUUUUGCUUUAUGGGUAAUCCAUUAACCGUCCAAUCUCCGACGAGCGCUUUUGAAUGGAUCUGGACUUUAAUUUUGAUUCGUGCGGUUUUUCCGGCAAGUUCAUGGUGGGAGGGGUUGAGGAGGUUACCGCCGACAGUGAAAAAGAUUACGUAGUUUAAAAAGGUUACCCCCACUUUCCUUCAUCACGAUGAUGACACUCAUCACCACCGUUUUCACCACUCACCACCACCGCGGAGUUGCUACGAGAACAAGGUGCACUGUUAACUUUCUGGGUCACCGGAGUUCCGGUGAUGAAGUUGUUAGGCAACAUGAAAGAAGGAUUGGGAUUUAGAGAAGAAGAAGAAGAAGAAAUGGGUAACAAGAUGAGAAGAGAAGGGAAGGGAAGGACAUUUUUAUCCAUUCCCAUGUCAUUUUGCUAAUUUAAUGACGUGGCAGUAAUUAACUGGGUUCAGGGACGAAAUUUUAAAUGAUUAACGAUUGCAAGGCUGGUUUGCAAGGAUUAGUGAAUACAGGGAUCAAUUUUUAAACGACCCAUAAUUGCAGGAAUUAAAUACAUAUUUAAGCCUUGCAACUAUAUAGGCUAAAAUCUCGUUUUCGCGACAAGGAACAUUCCAAUACUUUCAUUUUACCGAAUACGAAAUCAAAUAGGUUCACAUAUCAUGUUUCGCAUCAAGGGACAUGUUCAACCUUCAUAUUUAUGAAACUUGUAACAAUAUAAGCUAAAAUCUCGUUUUUGCGACAAGGAUCAUCUCAUUACUUUCUAUUUAUCAAAUUUAAAACCAAAUAGGUUCAAAUAUUAUGUUACACAUCAAAGGACAUCGAGGGACAAAUUCAACCUUCAUAUUUAUCAAACAUCUAACCAUAUAGGCUAAAAUCUCAUUUUUGCGACAAGGGUCAUUCCAAUACUUUCAUUUUACCGAAUACAAAACCAAAUAGGUUCACAUAUCAUAUUUCGCAUCAAGGGACAUCGAGGGACAAGUUCAACCUUUAUCAAACAUCAAACCAUAUAGGCUAAAAUCUCAUUUUUCGCAUCAUGUUUCACAUUAAGGGACAAGUUCAAACUUCCCAUUUAUCAAACUUGUAGGCAUAUAGACCAAAAUCUCG
Molecule: long non-coding RNA, 12679 nt
Filed under: Medicago truncatula (barrel medic)
Lineage: Eukaryota; Viridiplantae; Streptophyta; Magnoliopsida; Fabales; Fabaceae
Description: long non-coding RNA (MTRU_LNC004226)
Source: RNAcentral